This is a non-coding RNA of Paramuricea clavata, 1027 nucleotides long. NCBI's taxonomy places the organism in Eukaryota, Metazoa, Cnidaria, Anthozoa, Malacalcyonacea, Plexauridae. The record is from the annotation of a GenBank genome assembly.
UUUUAUUCCCUAAUCUUGAACAUUACAAUUGUGGUAGAAAAUUCCGUUUAUGCGCAUGCCUAAAACGCGAAUGAACACGGAGAUAUGUUUCUGCGCGUGCGUAUAUAUAAAAAGUGUUCGUACCACAAUCAUAAGACAAUCAAACAGCAUUCAAAACAGGCAACACACCACGCGCGAUUCCCUCAGCAACUAUGAUAUUACAAAGUAAUAGCAUGACAUUACGGUCGAUUGGUGAUGAAAUGUCCCUCAAGCCUCGAGAGGUUUAGUUAAACCUUAAACCUCUCUCGGCUUUCGGGUACAUUUAAUCACUAAUCGCCCUGAAUGCCAUGCUAUUACUUAUAAACACAGACGUGCAUGCAGCGUGCGAUUACGAUAAUCCAAUCAAUAUAUUUGAGUAUAACAAUUUUUAAGGUUUACAACUGAUUUUAAGGGGAUUUCUUGAAACUCAUGAAGAAAUUAAAAAAUAGGUAAAUUGAUCUAGCCCGUUAAAGGACGACUUGCGCUUUAGACUAAAUUUCAAUUAAUCUAAGUAAGAACAACGAAAUAUAUCACCACAGCUAGAAAAAGUGCCUUGGAAUUAGUAAUAUUACAAAGUUUGGUUGCGAAAUGUUGUAAAAUACGGAAAAUAUAGCCCUUCAAAGUUGGCAAAUUUGUAUACUUUUGUCAUAUUACGUGCUUGAAUUGAUAACUAAAUUAGUUACCAAUUUCCGCACGUAAUAGAAAUGUAUACAAAUUUGCCAACUUCGCAGGGCUAUAUUUUCCGUAUUUUACAACAUUUCGCAACCAAACUUUGCAGUUUUUCUAAUUUUGAUAACUUCUUUCCGAAAAUAUCCUUUGUUAUUCCCAGAUUAAAAAUUUUUCUAAAGAGCAAGUCGUCCAUUCAGUCAAGUAGUUCAGGACCAACAUGAAUUAAAAUUAUUUAACAUCAAGUUUAUGGUAUGUUUAUUAUUCUGUCACUGUUUUCAAUUUUAUAAGAAUGGCUUCAAGAUCAGAAUACAAACUAAAAAAUUCAAUAACUCAUAUUACG